RNAcentral lists this non-coding RNA (24 nucleotides) under Rattus norvegicus (Norway rat). Lineage: Eukaryota; Metazoa; Chordata; Mammalia; Rodentia; Muridae. The record is from RNAcentral.
UGGGUGUGUCUCUCAGGAAAGAUC